AAUGAACGCUGGCGGCGUGCCUAACACAUGCAAGUCGGAUGUGCCCGCAAGGGUGCAUGGCAGACGGGUGAGUAACGCGUGGGGAAUCUACCUUUUAGUGGGGAAUAACGCUCCGAAAGGAGUGGUAAUACCGCAUGUGACCAUCGGCUGGGAUGCUGAUGGUGAAACCCUGGGACCUUCGGGCCAGGGGCUAGAAGAGGAUCCUGCGUCUGAUUAGAUAGUUGGUGAGGUAAAGGACUCACCAAGUCUGUGAUCUGUAGCUGAUCUGAGAGGAUGAUCAGCCACACUGGGACUGAGACACGGCCCAGACUCCUACGGGAGGCAGCAGUGGGGAAUAUUGGACAAUGGGGGAAACCCGUGAUCCAGCGAUGCCGCGUGUAUGAUGAAGGUCUUCGGAUUGUAAAGUACUUUUAUUGGUGACGAUGAUGACGGUAACCAAUGAAUAAGCUCCGGCUAACUUCGUGCCAGCAGCC
RNAcentral lists this ribosomal RNA (473 nucleotides) under uncultured bacterium. RNAcentral's name for it is "bacterial SSU rRNA". It matches the Rfam family "Bacterial small subunit ribosomal RNA", at positions 29 to 516 of the family's 1533-position model. The record is from RNAcentral.